UACGUAGGGGGCAAGCGUUGUCCGGAAUCAUUGGGCGUAAAGCGCGUGUAGGCGGCCCGGUAAGUCCGCUGUGAAAGUCGGGGGCUCAACCCUCGAAUGCCGGUGGAUACUGUCGGGCUAGAGUGCGGGAGAGGCGAGUGGAAUUCCUGGUGUAGCGGUGAAAUGCGCAGAUAUCAGGAGGAACACCAAUUGCGAAGGCAGCUCGCUGGAACGUAACUGACGCUGAGACGCGAAAGCGUGGGGAGCGAACGGG
This 253-nucleotide ribosomal RNA is filed under the name uncultured bacterium. RNAcentral describes it as "partial 16S ribosomal RNA". It matches the Rfam family "Bacterial small subunit ribosomal RNA", at positions 524 to 776 of the family's 1533-position model. The record is from RNAcentral.